CCUACGGGUGGCAGCAGUAGGGAAUCUUCCACAAUGGGCGAAAGCCUGAUGGAGCAACGCCGCGUGGGUGAAGAAGGUCUUCGGAUCGUACAACCCUGUUGUUAGAGAAGAAAGUGCGUGAGCGUAACUGUUCACGUUUCGACGGUAUCUAACCAGAAAGCCACGGCUCACUACGUGCCAGCAGCCGCGGUAAUACGUAGGUGGCAAGCGUUAUCUGGAUUUAGUGGGCGUAAAGGUAACGCAGGCGGUCUUUUAAGUCUGAUGUGAAAGCCUUCGGCUUAACCGGAGGAGUGCAUUGGAAACUGGGAGACUUGAGUGCAGGAGAGGAGAGUGGAACUCCGUGUGUAGCGGUGAAAUGCGUAGAUAUAUGGAAGAAAACCGGUGGCGAAAGCAGCUCUCUGGUCUGUAACUGACGCUGAGGUUCGAAAGCGUGGGUAGCAAACAGGAUUAGAUACCCGAGUAGUC
This 465-nucleotide ribosomal RNA is filed under the name uncultured bacterium. Its description in RNAcentral is "partial 16S ribosomal RNA". It matches the Rfam family "Bacterial small subunit ribosomal RNA", at positions 338 to 795 of the family's 1533-position model. The record is from RNAcentral.